This 484-nucleotide ribosomal RNA is filed under the name uncultured bacterium. RNAcentral's name for it is "partial 16S ribosomal RNA". It matches the Rfam family "Bacterial small subunit ribosomal RNA", at positions 30 to 507 of the family's 1533-position model. The record is from RNAcentral.
UGAACGCUGGCGGCGUGCCUAAUACAUGCAAGUCGAACGCUGGAGAUCUAGCUUGCUAGAUCGAAGGAGUGGCGAACGGGUGAGUAAUACAUAAGCAACCUACCCACGAAGACUGGGAUAAUCUCUGGAAACGGGGACUAAUACCGGAUAGGUAAUCGGAAGGCAUCUUCUGGUUAUUAAAGGUUAAAAACACUGGUGGAUGGGCUUAUGGCGCAUUAGUUAGUUGGUGAGGUAACGGCCCACCAAGACGAUGAUGCGUAGCCGGCCUGAGAGGGUGAACGGGCAAAUUGGGACCGGGGACCGGCCCAGGCCUCUAAGGGGGGCAGCAGUAAGGGAAUUUCCGGAAAGGGGGCAAACCUGACCGGGGAACGCCGCGUGAGUGAAGGCGGCCUUCGGGUUGUAAAGCUCUGUUGGAAGGGAAGAACGGGAGGUAGAGAAUAUCUAAGGGACGGUAACCUACCAGAAAGCCACGGCUAACUACGUG